RNAcentral lists this unclassified non-coding RNA (253 nucleotides) under uncultured Parcubacteria group bacterium. Its description in RNAcentral is "contains 16S-23S intergenic spacer region". It matches the Rfam family "Bacterial small subunit ribosomal RNA", at positions 524 to 776 of the family's 1533-position model. The record is from RNAcentral.
UACGAGGGCUUCAAGCGUUGUCCGGAUUUAUUGGGCGUAAAGGGCGCGUAGGAGGUUUCAUGCGUCUCUUGUUAAAUUCCGGGGCCUAACUCCGGAGCCGCAAGGGAUACGAUGAGACUAGAGGACGUUAGAGGCAAGUGGAACGCACGGUGUAGGGGUGAAAUCCGUUGAUAUCGUGCGGAACACCAAAGGCGAAGGCAUCUUGCUGGGACGUUCCUGACUCUGAGGCGCGAAAGCGUGGGUAGCGAAUGGG